This 515-nucleotide ribosomal RNA is filed under the name uncultured bacterium. RNAcentral's name for it is "partial 16S ribosomal RNA". It matches the Rfam family "Bacterial small subunit ribosomal RNA", at positions 28 to 523 of the family's 1533-position model. The record is from RNAcentral.
GAUGAACGCUGGCGGCGUGCCUAAUACAUGCAAGUCGAGCGAAUGGAUUAAGAGCUUGCUCUUAUGAAGUUAGCGGCGGACGGGUGAGUAACACGUGGGUAACCUGCCCAUAAGACUGGGAUAACUCCGGGAAACCGGGGCUAAUACCGGAUAACAUUUUGAACCGCAUGGAUCGAAAUUGAAAGGCGGCUCCGGCUGUCACUUAUGGAUGGACCCGCGUCGCAUUAGCUAGUUGGUGAGGUAACGGCUCACCAAGGCAACGAUGCGUAGCCGACCUGAGAGGGUGAUCGGCCACACCGGGACUGAGACACGGCCCAGACUCCUACGGGAGGCAGCAGUAGGGAAUCUUCCGCAAUGGACGAAAGUCUGACGGAGCAACGCCGCGUGAGUGAUGAAGGCUUUCGGGUCGUAAAACUCUGUUGUUAGGGAAGAACAAGUGCUAGCUGAAUAAGCUGGCACCUUGACGGUACCUAACCAGAAAGCCACGGCUAACUACGUGCCAGCCGCCGCUGUAA